Molecule: long non-coding RNA, 906 nt
Organism: Ipomoea triloba (trilobed morning glory)
Lineage: Eukaryota; Viridiplantae; Streptophyta; Magnoliopsida; Solanales; Convolvulaceae
Exons: 2
Source: RefSeq, a predicted model, not a curated record
UUUCAUUUGUAGGCUACACGUGGAGCAUCUCGCUGCAUCCUAUUGGAGACACUAAACCCUUAUCUCCUUCUUCAUCAUUUUCGGGCGUUCAUUUGUGUUGAAUCGAGAGCAACGACAGCGUUCAUAUCGGGCGACAAAUGCUCCCUUUCUUGCCGGAGAUUCAUUUCCUGUGAACCACCAUGUUUGCUAUUGCUGUGUUCAAUCUUGUUUCAUCUUAUCCCAUUACACUAUGCUCAAUCGCUAUAUCUCUCUAUGAUUUCUGUCCCUAAAAUUUUAUUUUUAAUUUUUUUAAAUUUACAGAUCUGAUUCUUUAUGCAUGUUAAUUUUUGAAAUUCCUCUACAAUAUCUUGUUUUCUAAUUCUGGGCAGAUUGAAUUUUUCUUUGUUGUCUUCUUCAACGUCUUACUCAUUUGGUAGAAGGGUACUGUCCGGAAGUGGUAACUCAUACUGUAGCCUAAUUUUUUGUUGAGCCCGGUAAGUGGAUUGACGAAGUACAGCUAUUAGGGUAUCCACAGACCUAUCCAUCGGUAUUAAUUGUAUAAGUGUUGAUUUUGUAUGAGCAGACAUGUUAGUUUCCCAGGUACGUUCAUCCACUUACAUGUUCUAGUAAUUGGUAAUGUUUUUUUAUUAAUCUAUUUUAUUCAGCUUACCAAAAAAACUAUUUACAUUAUACUUGAGAUAAGUCUAUCAAAGAGAUUGCUUCUUGUGUUCCACUUAGUUUUUCUGGCACUUCAUUAUGUGAACAUUUUGCUACAAUUUUCUGCCCCUCCAUAUGAUUAGGUCUUAAUACACAUUAUAUUGCCUAAAUGGUUGGUUUCACCCAGUAAUUGGAUUCCUUGCUGGGUAAAAUUACUUUCCAAUACAGAUAUGAGCCCAUCCAUUUAAUGUGACCAUAACUUGCAGUCAA